GAGAGAUUGAAGGGAGAGAGACAGAAGGAGAGACGGGCAGAGGGAGAGAGAUGGAGGAGAGACAGGCAGAGAGGGAGAGAGAAAUGGAGGAGAGACAGAGGGAGAGACGGGCAGAGGUAGAGAGAGAUGGAGGGGAGAGAGAGGGAGAGACGGAGAGAGAGAGAUGGAGGAGAGACGGGCAGAGGUAGAGAGAGAUGGAGGGGAGAGAGAGGGAGAGACGGAGAGAGAGAGAUGGAGGAGAGACAGGCAGAGACAGAGGGAGAGACAGACACAGCAGAGGGAGGUGGAAGGGAGAGGUGGGGAAGAAACACCAGAGGAAGAGGUGAAACAGGGAGAGACGCAGAGAUAGGGCGAGACAGAGAUAGGAAGAAGUGGAGUAUGGGAUUGGGGGAGACGCAAAGACGAGGGUGGAUAAUGGGGUCAGAGGAAGAUACAGAGGUAAGAGGGGAGAGAGAGGAAGAUAGACAAGGUGGGGAUGGGGACACCCACAGAGAUGGGAUCAAGAUAGGAGCAGAGAGAGGCCCAGGGAGACGGGGAGGGAAAGAGCGGCAGGAAGAAGGAGAGAGACGGAAGCAGCAGAGACAGGGAGAAGACGGAGAGAGAGAGGACGGAGUGACAGAAACAGGAAUGAGGGAGGCCCAGGGAGAGGAUGAUAGAGGCGGGAAGAGAUGCAGGAAGGCGGGAGAGAUAAGCGAGGCAAGAAAGUUGGACAGAGAAGAAGACAGCAAGGCAGGAAGAGGGAGACAGAGACCCCAAGGCCACCAAGAGACACGCGCACAUGAAGGAUGGGGAAACAAUUGAGAUUGAGGGAGGCAGGCAGAGCGGAGCGAAAACAGGAGGACAGAAAUAGCGAAGCAAGGCCAAGAUCGGGACCCCCACCAGGGAGGUGCCCAGUACAGACAUGAAACAUCCAACAGAGAAGAGAGGAGCGGCCACUUCGAUCAACAGCUCCCCCCGCAACCUCGAGUUGUGCUGCAGACGGCAUCCCGUUUCCUCCCCCCUCACCCCCCAACACACACACACAACAUCGGUCUCUCCCCACCUGAAUCCUGAUGCUUGGGAGAGGCUGGAAGGGUGUUCCAGAACCUUGAGGAAGGGGUGGGAGCUUGGGGCGAGGGGUGCUGGGGGCCUGGAUGCCCUCAAGGUCCUUGGCAGGGGUAUUAAUAGCAGACUCAUAGCUCUGACAUGGGAGGGGAGAGCGAGAGGAGAGAGGGAGAGGACCGGCCGGCGAUGGGGGGACUGAUGCAGGGAGGGGGGUACAGGGAGAAGGUGAGAUAGAGAGAUGGAGGCACAGGGAUAUGGGGCAUCAGGUAUGUGGGGCUGGGGAGAGGGAGCCAAGUGUCAGAGAAAUGGGGGCGUGAAAGGUCUGAGGUGUAGGGACUCAGGAAAAAGGGGCUCAGAGAGGGAGAGAGAGAGGGUGGAGGAGAGUCCCUGAGGGACAGGGGAGCUAGGUGGGGGUCAAGACCCCUGCCCACCAUUCAAACCCCCUCCCUCCACGAGGCUCCUUGCCAACUUCCCCUGUCCUAGAUUUGGGGGUCCACAUUCCCACCACCAUCCCUGCAUCCCCUGUCCCCGCCUUACCUUUUCAUGACCCUGUUCUGUUGGGGGGAUGGCGGGGGGGCCAGGACCGGAACCCGGCGUCCAGCGACCCCAAGAUUCCGAGGAGGGCUCAGAGAGCCGAUGUCGGGGGGCAGGCCCCGGGGCGGCGGCAGUGGUGGCGGCGGCAGCAGCGGCAGCCCGGACCUCCUGUCUGUCCCUGGCUCCGUCUCUCCUUCCUCUUCCUUGGUCCUGUCCUGCCCUGUCUCUCCCCCAAGGUUGCGGCCACCUGGACUAGGCGAGGACGGGGCUACACAUGUUGCUCUGGAAGUUGGGCCCCGGACAUUGCAGAGGCUGUCGGGGUGUCCUCUUGCCGCCC
This 1915-nucleotide long non-coding RNA is filed under the name Pan troglodytes (chimpanzee). Its description in RNAcentral is "long non-coding RNA NONPTRT008567". Lineage: Eukaryota; Metazoa; Chordata; Mammalia; Primates; Hominidae. The record is from RNAcentral.